CUGCUUCUAAGAACUAUAGAACCAAUUCCUCCAGGUGUCAUCCUGACGAAAUGCCAACACAUUCAACACAAAAAGUAUUGUCUCAAAAGUUUUGCUCUCUGACUUCUUGCAGCCAGCAGUGUGGACAGUGAGGAAGCACAUAUUGCACGCUGAAAACAUCACCUCAUUACAGAUGCAUCGUGCACUGACACUAUCUUGUGGUCUCCAGAGACGAGUACAACCUGUGCUAUGGGAAACUGGUACACAUCUUUGUGGAAACUGGCCCGGAGGCGUUUCUGAAGAUCAGGAGUAGAGAUCACAAAACGAAAAACUUGGUGUCAGUAACAUGUCUUGAGGAGCUAAUCAGAGUUGCUGUGGGUCAUCGAAUUUGUCAGGAAGGCGACAUACAGGUGUAUUUAGUGGAUGAGUUAUCACUUCGCUGUAUGGUUGCUGGUGCUGAGAAAUGCCUCGAUGACAUUUUCAUUGUUAAAAAUGGACUAUGGAAACAAGAUCAGUCAACAUGUGUGAGUGCACCUUCACCAAUCCCACAAAUGCCUCUGCUCUCACGAAUUUAUUACCCUUGGGAGAGCCUCAGCAAGACAGUACUUGAUGCAUUGGAAGCAGACAAUGUUCUGCUUCCCUCUCAACAACAGGAAGUGGCACACAUGGCAGCGUCAUGGCCCUGCAUAUCCAUUGAAGGUGGGAGGCACUCCUGAUAUUUAUUCACAGGCACCUGGUUGGUAUCAUUGAGAACGAAGGGAGCCAGCAGGCAUAAAAAAAUCAAGAGGGCUACAUACAUAAAUGCGUGAGGCAGUGAGGGCAGCAGAUGAAUAUA
Molecule: long non-coding RNA, 814 nt
Organism: Ornithodoros turicata
Lineage: Eukaryota; Metazoa; Arthropoda; Arachnida; Ixodida; Argasidae
Exons: 6
Source: RefSeq, a predicted model, not a curated record